GACGAACGCUGGCGGCGUGCUUAACACAUGCAAGUCGAACGGAAAGGCCCUGCUUUUGUGGGGUGCUCGAGUGGCGAACGGGUGAGUAACACGUGAGUAACCUGCCCUUGACUUUGGGAUAACUUCAGGAAACUGGGGCUAAUACCGGCUAGGAGCUCCUGCUGCAUGGUGGGGGUGGGAAAGUUUCGGCGGUUGGGGAUGGACUGGCGGCUUAUCAGAUUGUUGGAGGGGUAGUGGCUGAGCAAGGCUUUGAACGGUAGCCGGGCUGAGAGGGUGACCGGCCAAACUAGGCUGGGGAUGAGGCACAGCCUACUACGGGAGGCAGGGGAGGAGAAUAUUGUACAAGGGGAGGAACGCUGGUGCAGCCAAGCAGCGUGGGGGAUGAGGUGCUGCGGGUAGUAUUCUGCUUCCGCCUGAGACGAAGUGUGAGUGACGGUACUGGGUGAAGAAGCACCGGCUAACUACGUG
Molecule: ribosomal RNA, 468 nt
Filed under: uncultured bacterium
Lineage: Bacteria
Description: partial 16S ribosomal RNA
Rfam family: Bacterial small subunit ribosomal RNA
Source: RNAcentral